CAAAAUGUAGUUUAUCUAAACCAUCUUGCUUACACCAAGAAAAUAUUUGCGCCCUCAAAUCAUUUUGA
RNAcentral lists this transfer RNA (68 nucleotides) under Hyloscirtus lascinius (Tabor treefrog). Its description in RNAcentral is "tRNA-Val". Lineage: Eukaryota; Metazoa; Chordata; Amphibia; Anura; Hylidae. The record is from RNAcentral.